GGUGANUAACACGNGAGUAACCUGCCCUNNANUCUGGGAUAACUCCGGGAAACCGGUGCUAAUACUGGAUAGGACUCCUGCCUGCAUGGGUGGGGGNGGAAAGANNUAUCGGUGAUGGAUGGACUCGCGGCCUAUCAGCUUGUUGGUGGGGUAAUGGCCUACCAAGGCGACGACGGGUAGCCGGCCUGAGAGGGUGACCGGCCACACUGGGACUGAGACACGGCCCAGACUCCUACGGGAGGCAGCAGUGGGGAAUAUUGCACAAUGGGCGAAAGCCUGAUGCAGCGACNCCGCGUGCGGGAUGACGGCCUUCGGGUUGUAAACCGCUUUCAGUAGGGACGAAGCUUUGGUGACGGUACCUACAGAAGAAGCACCGGCUAACUACGUGCCAGCAGCCGCGGUAAUACGUAGGGUGCGAGCGUUGUCCGGAAUUAUUGGGCGUAAAGAGCUUGUAGGCGGUUUGUCGCGUCUGCUGUGAAAGCCCGGGGCUUAACCCUGGGUCUGCAGUGGGUACGGGCAGGCUAGAGUGUGGUAGGGGAGACUGGAAUUCCUGGUGUAGCGGUGGAAUGCGCAGAUAUCANGAGGAACACCGAUGGCGAANGCAGGUCUCUGGGCCACUACUGACGCUGAGAAGCGAAAGCGUGGGGAGCGAACAGGAUUANAUACCCUGGUAGUCCACGCC
This 682-nucleotide ribosomal RNA is filed under the name uncultured bacterium. RNAcentral's name for it is "bacterial SSU rRNA". It matches the Rfam family "Bacterial small subunit ribosomal RNA", at positions 105 to 801 of the family's 1533-position model. The record is from RNAcentral.